This 83-nucleotide transfer RNA is filed under the name Clostridiales bacterium. Its description in RNAcentral is "tRNA-Leu". It matches the Rfam family "tRNA". Rfam says of the family: Transfer RNA (tRNA) molecules are approximately 80 nucleotides in length. Their secondary structure includes four short double-helical elements and three loops (D, anti-codon, and T loops). Lineage: Bacteria; Bacillati; Bacillota; Clostridia; Eubacteriales. RNAcentral also lists the same sequence under 1 other name. The record is from RNAcentral.
GCGGAUGUGGCGGAAUAGGCAGACGCGCACGCUUGAGGGGCGUGUGGGAGACCGUGCGGGUUCGACUCCCGCCAUCCGCACCA